Molecule: ribosomal RNA, 930 nt
Filed under: Lauriomyces cylindricus
Lineage: Eukaryota; Fungi; Ascomycota; Leotiomycetes
Description: SSU rRNA
Rfam family: Eukaryotic small subunit ribosomal RNA
Source: RNAcentral
UUCUAGAGCUAAUACAUGCUUAAAACCUCGACUUCGGAAGAGGUGUAUUUAUUAGAUAAAAGACCAAUGCCCUUCGGGGCUCCUUGGUGAUUCAUAAUAACUUAACGAAUCGCAUGGCCUUGCGCCGGCGAUGGUUCAUUCAAAUUUCUGCCCUAUCAACUUUCGAUGGUAGGGUAGUGGCCUACCAUGGUUGCAACGGGUAACGGACGAUUAGGGUUGGACUCCGGAGAGGGAGCCUGAGAAACGGCUACCACAUCCAAGGAAGGCAGCAGGCGCGCAAAUUACCCAAUCCCGAUUCGGGGAGGUAGUGACAAUAAAUACUGAUACAGGGCUCUUUUGGGUCUUGUAAUUGGAAUGAGUACAAUUUAAAUCCCUUAACGAGGAACAAUUGGAGGGCAAGUCUGGUGCCAGCAGCCGCGGUAAUUCCAGCUCCAAUAGCGUAUAUUAAAGUUGUUGCAGUUAAAAAGCUCGUAGUUGAACCUUGGGCCUGGCUGGCCGGUCCGCCUCACCGCGUGCACUGGUCCGGCCGGGUCUUUCCUUCUGGGGAGCCUCAUGCCCUUCACUGGGUGUGUUGGUCAACCAGGACUUUUACUGUGAAAAAAUUAGAGUGUUCAAAGCAGGCCUAUGCUCGAAUACAUUAGCAUGGAAUAAUAGAAUAGGACGUGUGGUUCUAUUUUGUUGGUUAUAGGACCGCCGUAAUGAUUAAUAGGGAUAGUCGGGGGCAUCAGUAUUCAAUUGUCAGAGGUGAAAUUCUUGGAUUUAUUGAAGACUAACUACUGCGAAAGCAUUUGCCAAGGAUGUUUUCAUUAAUCAGGAACGAAAGUUAGGGGAUCGAAGACGAUCAGAUACCGUCGUAGUCUUAACCAUAAACUAUGCCGACUAGGGAUCGGGCGAUGUUAUUAUUUGACUCGCUCGGCACCUUACGAGAAA